AAAAUCCUUACAUGAAUAUUAGUUACAAAUAUUUCAAUGCAGCAUACUUGCAUUGAGCUGCUAAGCACGAAGCAGUAAGUGGUUAUGUAUAUAGCGACUUUAGGAAUUGUUGCAGGCUGAGAACGAGCGACUAAACGGUUUGGAGGAUAACUGAUUUAGGGACUUUCUUUAUACCUCUAUAAAAUCGAAGUAAGGCGAUUGAGGGCGAAUGCUAGGGCAGUUAUUAGCAGAUUUACACUAAGUAAAGUAAAGAAAGAGG
Molecule: non-coding RNA, 259 nt
Filed under: unclassified sequences
Description: ARRPOF RNA
Rfam family: ARRPOF RNA
Source: Rfam by way of RNAcentral